AGCCAAGCACCUAAUUAGGUGUGCAGUUCAUCGACUAAAUGUUGGUUGGCGCAAGCUUAAGAUAUAGUCAGACCCUAUCCGAAAGGAUACAGAAUAAUUUUAUUACUAUACUAAUUUACGAUUAAAAUUAAUUACGUAUUAUUAACAAUAUUAAAUAUUAAACUAUGAUAAGAAACUUAAAACCAAUAAAAAUGUAUUUAAACUCUGAUCUAGAGAAAUUAAAUAUAUUAAAUGAUAAUAAGAAUAAACAAGGUAUUUAUUUAUGGAUAAAUACUGUUAAUGAUAAGAUAUACGUAGGAAGUUCUAUGAAUUUAACUACUAGAUUUUAUAAAUAUUAUAGUGUAAAGAAUUUAACUUUACAUAAUACGAUUAUACAUAACGCUCUUCUUAAAUAAGGAUUUAGUAGUUUUAGUUUAGCUAUAUUAGAAUAUGUUUCUAAUAAGGAAGACUUAUUAAAAAGAGAACAAUACUAUAUAGAUUUAUUAAAACCUGAGUAUAACAUAUUAACUAAAGCUGGUUCCAGUUUAGGUUAUAAACAUAAAGAAGAAACUAGAACGUUUUUUAAAGAAGAACGUAGACUUACUAAAGAAGCUAGAAAUAAUUUAUCUAUAGCAGCUACAGGUAGAAUACUACCUAAAGAAGUAAGAAAUAAAAUAGCUAACAAACGUAAAGGUAUAAAACUUACAGAUGAAACACGUACAAAGAUAUCAGAUGCUGCUAUCAAACUUGUAGGUGUUAAAAUUAACGUUAUUAAUAUAGAAACCAAUGAAAGUUCAUCUUUUGAUACUUUAACUAAAGCUAGUGAAUACUUAAAUGUAAGUAGAACGGCAAUAAGUAAAGCAUUAAAAAGUGGUAAAGAAAUAAAGAAAAUAUAUGCUAUAAAAGCAUAUAUAAAGUAAUAAAAUUAUUUGUUAAAUGGAUAACUAAAAGUUAUUUAGGGAGAAGGACUUCAGCUUUACCCUCAGGGUAGAAGAAGUAGAUUCGUUUCUGCGAAACCUAUAAUAGUAGGCAAUUUAAAUAAACAUCUUAGCAGGUACAGAAUUUAAUCUCAGACAAGGCGUUUUAUACGUUUUAUAUUGUACAAAUUGGGGGACCAUGAAGGUUUUAUCAGUGAGUAUGUAGACUCGGAAUGGCAAAGAUGUAUUUUGAAUGAUCAGACAUAGAAUGAUAAGGUUGUAUGUCGAAGGGGAAACAGCCCAGAACAAGAGUUAAGGUUCCUAAAUUAUUAGUUGAGUGAAAUUAAGAAGGUUUUUAUUAAAGUCGACAAGGAGAUAGGCUUAGAAGCAGCCAUAAUUUUAUGACCUCGUAACAGAGCGCUUGUUAAGUUAUAAAAGCAUCGAAAAUAUAACGGAUCUAAACAAUAUACCGAAACCUUGUCCAUUAUAUAUUAUAAUAAUAAUAUUAUUAUAAUUCAAUGGGGUAGCAGAACGUUGAGCUAAAUUAUGAGUUUUAUUUUUUAAAUAGAAUGAUAACGAUUUAACUCAAGUGUGAAUGGUGACAUGAGUAACUAAAAGAAAAUUUUCCGCCUUAAGCUUAUGGAUAUAUUUAAGUAACGGCCUCUAAGUUUAUAUUAUCUAAAGAUUUAAACGAUGAGAAAAUCUUUUUUACUAAGGACGACAUUUUAGUGUAAAAUGUACUGGAAAAAUAGUAAAUAUAUUUAUAGUUAGCUUAGCUUCUAUAAAUGAAGAAUAACCGUACCUAGAAUCUGAAACAAGUAAGCUAGUAGAGAAUACGAAGGCGUAAAUGAGCUAACAAUCAUAAAGGAACUCGGCAAAUUGACUACCGUAACUUCGGAAUAAGGAGGGCUCAUUAUUCUUGAUUAAUAUCAAGUAAAGAGGAAGAAGCAUGAAAUAAUGUUGUACGACUGUUUAAUUAAAACACAGCACUCUGCUGAAAGAUUAAAAAUCUAAGUAUAGAGUGUGAUAUCUGCCCGGUGCCGGCUGGUUAACAGAGAUAAUUGAAUAUACUACUAUUUGAUGUCGACGGAAACCCCGGUUAAAGGCGGCCUUAACGUGAGGGUCCUAAGGUAGCGAAAUGCCUUGGCCGUUAAAUGCGGUCUUGCAUGAAUGGUGUAACGAUACAACAGCUGUCUCUAUGAUUGACUCAGUGAAAUUGGAAUAGCAGUGCAGAUACUGCUUACCUCUAGUUAGACGAGAAGACCCUAUGCAGCUUUACUGUCACUAAUUAUAGAUUAUGAUAGACAAUUUUCAGAUUAUAAGGUAAUUGAUUUAUGACAAUGAGAAACCUUUAUUUUUCUUUCAUAUGAAUGAAUUGGUUUAGGAGUAUAAGUAGAUUGUAAUUUAUGUGGCUUUACUGAGCCAAUUUGUUAAAUUAUAGUCUGUAUGCUUAUACUAGUAGAUCAGCCUAAUUCAACUUACUAUAUUCAUUAUAGUAAGUACCCUUUGGUAAGGAACUAUCGCUAGGGGACAGUUUAUGUGGGGCACAGACCCUGUAAAGAGUAAACAGGAGUGUCUAAAAAUUUAUAAAUAUUUUGUUUGCUAUUUUGAAUAGUUUAACUAUUCUUAAUCAUAUACAAUUAAUUAUAUUUGCAUUUAUUGUAAAUAUAGUUAAGAUUAGGUAGGAUUUUCACUAUAUAGAAAUUAGAGAUAAUAAAGAUAUUAUGGAAACUCUUCUAAUAUCUUUUAGCUAUCUUUUAGAUAGUUAUGUUUACAAUAUCUAAAAAGCUCAACGGCUUAAUCCUGCCUUACUGUUUGAUUAUCUACAAAUCUUACAGUUGCGUAAGCAGGGCAUAGGAUCACAAGAUGCAACAAGGAAAGAUCUUGGAUUAUUGGAAAAGCUACGCUAGGGAUGUUUGUCCUUUAAUAUUUUAUAUUGUACAGUUGGCGAAAGCUAUAACUCUUGUUACAUAUAAAAUUAUUAAUAUAAAUUGGGUAAAUUUCAAGAAU
Molecule: ribosomal RNA, 2906 nt
Filed under: Metarhizium majus ARSEF 297
Lineage: Eukaryota; Fungi; Ascomycota; Sordariomycetes; Hypocreales; Clavicipitaceae
Description: bacterial LSU rRNA
Rfam family: Bacterial large subunit ribosomal RNA (bases 895-2860)
Source: RNAcentral